This 973-nucleotide long non-coding RNA is filed under the name Capsicum annuum. Its description in RNAcentral is "long non-coding RNA (CANN_LNC016394)". The record is from RNAcentral. Lineage: Eukaryota; Viridiplantae; Streptophyta; Magnoliopsida; Solanales; Solanaceae.
UUCCUUAUGUCUACAAAGCCUCUAGGAUAUACAUGACAUAACUAGGGUCGGGACAAACCCCCGCCCACACGUGACUCAUGUACAAUAACAAAACAUAAGGAACCGAUUCGGAAAGCUCCGAAGCAAACUGGAGCUCACCAACAAUAGCUGUAUGACCUGGCUCCUACUUGUGCGGUGUAUGAGUUGAGGUACCUGUGCCUGCAGCAUGAAAUGCAGGUCCCCCGUGAGGGACGUCAGUACGAAAUAUGUACUGAGUAUGUAAAGCUGUAAAUAAUCACAUAUGAUAUAGGAGCUCAAUAGAAAUCAGAAACAAGUGAAUAAGUCGUAAUAGGAGUGGACCACACUUACUAGAACUUGUGACAACCUGUACAUUGUAUUUAUUCAAUCACUUUGCCUUCGUUCUUAUCGUCUUUGUAAUCAUUACUGUACUGUACUGUGACCAUUAGGAUGCCUCCAGUACAUAUCAACUGGGAUCGACCCAUGCUAGGCUUAUGCCCCUGGGAUACCACCCAUAAACACAUGAAAUAGGGAUCGACCCAUGCUAGGCUUAUGCCCCUGGGAUACCACCCGAUAAGAGAGAACUUUCAUCACUUAGUUCAAUUAAUCUUUGAGAUUGUUAUUUCGGUCGUCACCACAUUUUUGAUACCUUGAAACAAUGAUACAUCAAUAGGAACCAAGUAAUAGACCUUCUAUACAAUAACGAUGUAAUAAGGACUCAUUGGUACAUCAACAAUAUGUUUCAGAAUCAUCAAUAUCACAACAAUGAAAUAAGAGCCUUUUGGUAUAUCAAUGAACAUUUUGACACUUUAUAGGAUGGAAACAACUUCGUUGGUAACGUAGAACAAUACAUGUUUUUGGACAACCUCGGAAUCUUACUUGAUGGAACAUUGGUGUUUUCAUGCCAAAGAACAUUGUUAGAGUAUGCUUUACAUACCUCGUUGUAGAUUCAGAUACCAAUUCAACACAACUUCCC